ACGCUCGACACCUACGGGAGCAGCAGUGGGGAAUAUUGCACAAUGGGGGAAACCCUGAUGCAGCGACGCCGCGUGAGUGAAGAAGUAUUUCGGUAUGUAAAGCUCUAUCAGCAGGGAAGAAAAUGACGGUACCUGACUAAGAAGCCCCGGCUAACUACGUGCCAGCAGCCGCGGUAAUCUGAGCGGGCUGGCAAGGC
RNAcentral lists this ribosomal RNA (197 nucleotides) under uncultured bacterium. RNAcentral describes it as "partial 16S ribosomal RNA". It matches the Rfam family "Bacterial small subunit ribosomal RNA", at positions 328 to 539 of the family's 1533-position model. The record is from RNAcentral.